UCUUGUCGUACGUGUCAUCUAAACUUGAGUCUUUAACUUGUUCUAGGGACACUGGAAGGUGGGCAGUUGGAAUGUGGCGGUCGACUUCCAAUAUGGAACGGAGGCGUUAUAAGGGUCUAGUAGUACGGUCGGUAAGCGUACGUAGAGUGAAAAGGCAAAAGAGUGCAGGAUUGCAAGAUAUCAAGGUCGAGCAAGGAUGACCCUAGGACUUAGUGAUUCGGUGGUUCUGCGUGGAAGGGUCAUCGCUCAACGGAUAAAUGAUAUCCUUUUGAUAACAGGCUUUUUUCCCCCAAGAGUCCACAUCGACGGGGAGGUUUGGCACCUCGAUGUCGGCUCAUCACAUCCUGGGGCUGUAGUAGGUCCCAAGGGUUGGGCUGUUCGCCCAUUAAAGUGGUACGCGAGCUGGGUUCAGAACGUCGUGAGACAGUUCGGUCCCUAUCCGUCGCAGGCGUAGGAAAUUUGAGAAGAC
RNAcentral lists this ribosomal RNA (469 nucleotides) under Clostridioides difficile. Its description in RNAcentral is "bacterial LSU rRNA". It matches the Rfam family "Bacterial large subunit ribosomal RNA", at positions 2204 to 2671 of the family's 2925-position model. Lineage: Bacteria; Bacillati; Bacillota; Clostridia; Peptostreptococcales; Peptostreptococcaceae. The record is from RNAcentral.